Molecule: ribosomal RNA, 253 nt
Filed under: uncultured bacterium
Lineage: Bacteria
Description: partial 16S ribosomal RNA
Rfam family: Bacterial small subunit ribosomal RNA
Source: RNAcentral
UACAGAGGUCUCAACCGUUGUUCGGAUUCAUUGGGCGUAAAGGGUGCGUAGGCGGCGGGGUAAGUCAGGUGUGAAAUCUCGGGGCUCAACCCCGAAACUGCACUUGAUACUGCCUCGCUUGAGUACUGGAGAGGAGACUGGAAUUUACGGUGUAGCAGUGAAAUGCGUAGAUAUCGUAAGGAAGACCAGUGGCGAAGGCGAGUCUCUGGACAGUUCCUGACGCUGAGGCACGAAGGCCAGGGGAGCAAACGGG